GUUUUCCUACGGGGCGCAGCAGUGGGGAAUAUUGCACAAUGGGGGAAACCCUGAUGCAGCGACGCCGCGUGGGCGAGGAAGUACCUCGGUAUGUAAAGCCCUAUCAGCAGGGAAGAAACAGGACAGUACCUGACUAAGAAGCCCCGGCUAACUCCGUGCCAGCAGCCGCGGUAAUACGGAGGAUGCGAGCGUUAUCCGGAUUUAUUGGGUUUAAAGGGUGCGUAGGCGGACUGUUAAGUCAGCGGUAAAAGCCCGGGGCUCAACCCCGGCGAGCCGUUGAAACUGGCUGUCUUGAGAUGUCGAGG
This 305-nucleotide ribosomal RNA is filed under the name uncultured bacterium. Its description in RNAcentral is "bacterial SSU rRNA". It matches the Rfam family "Bacterial small subunit ribosomal RNA", at positions 333 to 655 of the family's 1533-position model. The record is from RNAcentral.